AGGAAAUAGAUACCCCGGUAGUCCCAGCUGUAAACGAUGCAGACUCGGUGAUGAAUUGGCUUAUUGCUAAAUUCAGUGCCGCAGGGAAGCCGUUAAGUUUGCCGCCUGGGGAGUACGGUACGCAAGAACUGAAACGUUAAAGGAAUUGGCGGGGGAGCACCACAAGGGGUGAAGCCUGCGGUUCAAUUGGAGUCAACGCCGGAAAUCUUACCGGGGUCGGACAGCAGAGUGAAGGUCAAGCUGAAGACUUUACCUAGACAAGCUGAGAGGAGGUGCAUGGCCGUCGCCAGCUCGUGCCGUGAGGUGUCCUGUUAAGUCAGUAACGAGCGAGAUCCCUGCCUCUAGUUGCUACCAUUAUUCUCAGGAGUAGUGGAGCUAACUUAGA
This 385-nucleotide ribosomal RNA is filed under the name uncultured bacterium. RNAcentral's name for it is "bacterial SSU rRNA". It matches the Rfam family "Archaeal small subunit ribosomal RNA", at positions 724 to 1100 of the family's 1478-position model. The record is from RNAcentral.